This 432-nucleotide ribosomal RNA is filed under the name uncultured bacterium. RNAcentral's name for it is "partial 16S ribosomal RNA". It matches the Rfam family "Bacterial small subunit ribosomal RNA", at positions 29 to 506 of the family's 1533-position model. The record is from RNAcentral.
AACGAACGCUGGCGGCAUGCCUAACACAUGCAAGUCGAACGAGACCUUCGGGUCUAGUGGCGCACGGGUGCGUAACGCGUGGGAACCUGCCCUUAGGUUCGGAAUAACUCCCCGAAAGGGGUGCUAAUACCGGAUAAUGUCUUCGGACCAAAGAUUUAUCGCCUUUGGAUGGGCCCGCGUUGGAUUAGCUAGUUGGUAGGGUAAAAGCCUACCAAGGCGACGAUCCAUAGCUGGUCUGAGAGGAUGAUCAGCCACACUGGGACUGAGACACGGCCCAGACUCCUACGGGAGGCAGCAGUGGGGAAUAUUGGACAAUGGGCGAAAGCCUGAUCCAGCAAUGCCGCGUGAGUGAUGAAGGCCUUAGGGUUGUAAAGCUCUUUUACCCGGGAUGAUAAGGACAGGACCGGGAGAAGAAGCUCCGGCUAACUCCGU